UGGUUCUGGCAUCGAUGAAGAACGCAGCGAAAUGCGAUAAGUAAUGUGAAUUGCAGAAUUCAGUGAAUCAUCGAAUCUUUGAACGCACAUUGCGCCCGCCAGUAUUCUGGCGGGCAUGCCUGUUCGAGCGUCAUUUCAACCCUCAGGCCCUGGUGCCUGGCGUCGGGGCUGUUCCCGCGAGGGAAGCCCUCAGAAACAUUGGCGGACCCGCGCAGGCUCUGAGCGAAGUAGUAAAAUUCUCGCCCGGGAGCCUCGCGUGCGGUGUAGCCGGCCCCCACGGGCCCGGUGUAUGCGCAAACUCGGCGUAUAUAUAAGGUUGACCUCGGAUCAGGUAGGAAUACCCGCUGA
This 348-nucleotide unclassified non-coding RNA is filed under the name uncultured fungus. Its description in RNAcentral is "partial contains 5.8S ribosomal RNA and internal transcribed spacer 2". The stretch from base 1 to 133 matches the Rfam family "5.8S ribosomal RNA", at positions 22 to 154 of the family's 154-position model. Lineage: Eukaryota; Fungi. The record is from RNAcentral.